Molecule: long non-coding RNA, 2552 nt
Organism: Athene cunicularia (burrowing owl)
Lineage: Eukaryota; Metazoa; Chordata; Aves; Strigiformes; Strigidae
Exons: 3
Source: RefSeq, a predicted model, not a curated record
ACUGGACAUGCAAGAGAGCUAUGCCAUCUUCUUCCUGCCAUACUGCCACGACUGCAAGAAGGAAAGCCACUCAAGCUGAAAAAGAAGGUGGUGGUUGCGGAGAAGUGUCUGUGAGGAGCUCUCAGCUCUGGAAAGGACUCACUGGUCUGAAAUAGCCCGGGACUGUUGAUCUCCAGGUCAUGCUACAAGAAGCAUCCUUCUGCUCACACUGGUGAUGACUGUGAUGUCUGCAGAAAAAGAAGAAUUUGUGCGAGCUCUGUAACAAGUGAGGGGAGAGUGUGGUCGCCUGCUAUUACAAAAUCCAUAGGAUCUGUGGAAGGGGAACAGUCCUGGGAGAAGACUUCAAGUGUCUGUUGUUUUGCAGUUGGGCUUUGCAGUAGAUCAAAAGCUACAGUGGGCCCUUCCACUUCUCAAGAGGGCCAGAAACAAGACCAGAACCUGCUAGUUCAGACCAAUAUCUGCUGCGGGGCAACGAUGGUACUGCAGGAGGAAACCGCUUUCUCCUUGACAAGCAGAAGACAAAAAGCCUUCCGACUCACUCACCCUUGAUUGAAAUGACACAUCGCUACAUCUUUCUCUCCUACAUGACUCUUACAAUCACAGCUCAUUAUCCUUGACCUGUCCUUAAUACUGUACAGUCUGCCUAAAAUAAAGGCUGAAUAGUCUUUUUGACUGUUCCUAUGUCAAACUCCUGUUUGUUUUGUCAGAAGCCAUAUAUUUUAAAAUAUUAUCUACCUUGACAACUCUGAGACCUUGACUGUAUCAGGGAAGAGUUCUGCUCUUUUAAUAGAAAUAUCCCCUCUUGACAAGAAGUAAAUAUAUCGUCCAUAACUGUCUCUGCUCUUCUCCUCUGUUUGACAUCCAAAAGAGGAGAUACAAACAGAGUGUGUAGCUGGUUGGUCAUGGAGAAAACAGUAAUUCUGUCCUAAUGAGGAAAACAGGCGAUUCUGGAGGGAAUCAAGUCUCCAGGGAGCAGGAACCAGAAUCAAAGAUCAUGCUGAUGUUGGUUGCCACAUGCUAUGGUCUUCCCAGUUUAGAAAAUACCACAUUCUUCUGAAGGGCCCACAGAAACAUCUGUGGGUUUGUGGGUUGGGUCCUGUUAAACGUUAACUGCUUAGUGCCAGGGAGCAGGAUCUCUCACCAGAGCUCAUAAUCUACAUGAGCAAAAUACUGCAAAAGAAGCAAGGUAAGAUUUGAAAAGCUGCCUAUCCAAAACUUAGUAAACAUAAAUAAUGUAUUUCUUCCUGGCCUCGGUCUGCUUUAACGUAGCAGCACAAAAGCAGCCUUGCUAUUGCUGCUGAGUGCAGCUAAUGGUCUUUUUGUCUAAAUUACAGUUGGUCCCUCUAAAAGUGUGUUUCCUGCCAAGUGCGGUUUCACGAAAUGCUGAGUCAGAGAAGCAGGGAGGAGGGGCCAACAGCAGCAAGGGCAGCUGGCAAUGGACCCAUAAAAGUAAUGGCACUUUUAAAAGAAGGUUAAGAGACAAGAAUGUUUUGGUGCAAAAUGAGAAAAACUGGAAGGCAAAUAAACUGUAAAGCAGGAUAAGUUACAGCAUAUCAUUUCCCAGAAGGGAAUAUCAUAAUAUAGUAGUUUGAUGACAUAUAGAAUAAUGCCUUAAUAUUUAGGAGUAGAUCCUUUAAAAUAUUCAUGUGCUUCCUAUUGGACUAAGGGCUCAAAUAUAGUCAGGUCACCAUACAUCAGCACAGUGAUCUGCCCCAGGAAAUUUGAGGCAAUCUGCCCUAGUUCAGCUUUCUAUAAAAGAGACUUAAGUAAACCAGCUCACUUUAUAUCUGCCUGCGGGCACAUACCUUGGCAGCUAUUGUACUUCAAGUGAUAAACUGUGGGUUGUUAAGUGACAGUAAUUCACACUAGUAUCCAACGCACAUGAAGUCUGAAUACUUGUGAGGGCGUUAGCCAACUUUCUGACUUCCAGCUGGGGCAAGCGUUUUGCCACAUCAUCUACCUGAACUUGCCCUCAGCACUACCAGACAGCCAUCAUCCCUGACAGAUAGAAGAUGACGGCCUGUUGCAGCCAGCAGUGACAAGAAGAGAUGAAAGAUCAUUUGGUUCUUACACUUGAUGCCUGGAAAUGGAAACAGGAAAAAGAGUAGGAAGAAUGUAAUAAAAAGUGAGAUGGUGUUAAAAGUAGUUUAAGCAACUCCCAACCUCUCUGACCACUUGUCCCUGCUCUCUGUCACACCACCCCACCACCACCACCCCACCCCCCGUUGUGUCUGCAAAGUGUAUGUGGGAGCACAAAAGGGACUACAUGAGGGAUCUCAUGGAUUUGAAAAUUAACCCCCACCAAAACUUCUUGUUUUCCACCCAGAAAAAAAGUCAUUUAGCUGUAUGUACAAGCUCUGGGGUCAGUGUGACAAAGAGGGCAAGAACAAGUGCCUGCAGGGCUGUUUCAGACAGCACGACAAUGGAAAAAGUUCGUGUAACCCACAACCACCUUCUUAAUUUUCAAUGUCUUUUCCUGCUCCAAGCUCUAAUUCCAGCCACUCGGGACCUAAUCUUGUUUCCACUUAAAUAAAUUGCAACUUUGCCAUUAA